AGUUAGAGGAAAGACUCUCAGGAAGGCACCUCCGCCUUUCUUGCCUGGCUGUGCUUGAGGGAGGAGUGAGUACUGUAAUCCUCUCCAGCGGGGAAAGAAUCCUCAGGCCUUUAUCUCCCCUACCUAUGUCCCUGCCCUGUGGCCUGUGACUGCAUGGUCCUGAUACUGCUUCUGUUUCUGCUGUGCCUAUUUUUUCCUGCUUUAGGUGAAGGAAUAUUGGUGAUGGGUUCAAUCUUGUGAGCUUUGAAAGGUUGGGAAAGAGAACACCAGAGCUGGAACCCGUGCUACGAUUUGCUGGAGACUGAACACAGGCGAAUGGAUAUCCUGAAAUGUGAGUGCCUAAGUCACCAGGAGAUCCACCAAAGCCACCCAAUGUUCCACAAACAACCAGAGUCUUGAGAGAAUGGCAGCAAUAGUUGAGUCUAAUGAAGAGUCCAUCACACAAGCAACCUGCUUGACCCAGACCAACUGAAGACUGACCUAUCAGUUAAGACUUCAUACAAGGAGUCAGUUCAGCUAAACAAAGGACUAACUAAUGUCAACUGGUUGAUCAAUAUUGAGGGAGCAUACCAGACGGGGUCUCAUGAGUAACAGUAUUAGAAGCUACAAGCUCUCAAGGUUACCUCUAGAAUCCAGAAGAGAGCAGUAACCAGCCACCCUCUGGGAACCCAGCCUGCCAGUUCAAGUGGGAGUUAGAAGAGUGAGGACAAAGGGAGCACUUCAGAGUUUAAAAAAACAAGCUGAAUUGUAUUCAAGUCUCAAGGACUCUCAAUCUCAGAGUUUUGUGCAAGACCUACUUUCUUUAGGUUACUUUUACAGGGAAGAGGUGUCAAGAGAAUAAGCCUCUUUUGUGGUGGGUGAUGUUCUUUUUUUCUCAUAGUCAUUGCUUGUAUAGGUUUUCUCAUCUUCUUUCUCACCUGACAGUGUAUCCUUUCUUUAUUUUAGCAAUAACAGGGUAUAUAAACAAUGUUCUUUUGGGCUGUUGCCUAGUCUGCUAGGCUUUGUAUGACAAGGUCAAGGGAAUGUGAUUUCUCUGAUGACCUCGUGUUUUAAAAAGACAUAUUCAAAAUGUGUAAGCUAAGGCAUAUGACCAAGGAUAAAUAUUUUUAAAGAAGCAUAAGCUGGAGUUUGUAUAAAUUGCUCAGAAAAACAAAAAAAGGAUAUUUAUGCUUUUUUAAGAGUAAGAAGGCAAACAAGGAAACAAUAAACCCAC
This is a long non-coding RNA of Vombatus ursinus (common wombat), 1213 nucleotides long. RefSeq lists it as uncharacterized. The transcript has 4 exons. The record is from RefSeq and is a predicted model, not a curated record. NCBI's taxonomy places the organism in Eukaryota, Metazoa, Chordata, Mammalia, Diprotodontia, Vombatidae.